AGAGUUUGAUCCUGGCUCAGGACGAACGCUGGCGGCAUGCCUAACACAUGCAAGUCGAGCGAGUGGAGUUCUUCGGAACAAAGCUAGCGGCGGACGGGUGAGUAACACGUGGGCAACCUGCCUCAUAGAGGGGAAUAGCCUUCCGAAAGGGAGAUUAAUACCGCAUAAGAUUGUAGCUUCGCAUGAAGUAGCAAUUAAAGGAGCAAUCCGCUAUGAGAUGGGCCCGCGGCGCAUUAGCUAGUUGGUGAGGUAACGGCUCACCAAGGCGACGAUGCGUAGCCGACCUGAGAGGGUGAUCGGCCACAUUGGGACUGAGACACGGCCCAGACUCCUACGGGAGGCAGCAGUGGGGAAUAUUGCACAAUGGGGGAAACCCUGAUGCAGCAAUGCCGCGUGAGUGAUGACGGCCUUCGGGUUGUAAAGCUCUGUCUUCAGGGACGAUAAUGACGGUACCUGAGGAGGAAGCCACGGCUAACUACGUGCCAGCAGCCGCGGU
This 496-nucleotide ribosomal RNA is filed under the name uncultured bacterium. RNAcentral describes it as "bacterial SSU rRNA". It matches the Rfam family "Bacterial small subunit ribosomal RNA", at positions 8 to 521 of the family's 1533-position model. The record is from RNAcentral.